Molecule: ribosomal RNA, 533 nt
Filed under: uncultured bacterium
Lineage: Bacteria
Description: bacterial SSU rRNA
Rfam family: Bacterial small subunit ribosomal RNA
Source: RNAcentral
AAUAGACUACCCUGGUAGUCCAUGCCGUAAACGUUGGGCACUAGGUGUGGGGCUCAUUCCACGAGUUCCGUGCCGCAGCAAACGCAUUAAGUGCCCCGCCUGGGGAGUACGGCCGCAAGGCUAAAACUCAAAGGAAUUGACGGGGGCCCGCACAAGCGGCGGAGCAUGCGGAUUAAUUCGAUGCAACGCGAAGAACCUUACCAAGGCUUGACAUGCACGGGGAAGCCACCAGAGAUGGUGGUCUCUUUGGACACUCGUGCACAGGUGGUGCAUGGUUGUCGUCAGCUCGUGUCGUGAGAUGUUGGGUUAAGUCCCGCAACGAGCGCAACCCUCGUCCCAUGUUGCCAGCGGGUUAUGCCGGGGACUCAUGGGAGACUGCCGGGGUCAACUCGGAGGAAGGUGGGGAUGACGUCAAAUCAUCAUGCCCCUUAUGUCUUGGGCUUCACGCAUGCUACGAAUGGCCGGUACAAAGGGCUGCGAUACCGUAAGGUGGAGCGAAUCCCAAAAGCCGGUCUCAGUUCGGAGUUGGGUCG